ACGAUGAGGUCUUCAUGAAGAGCUGGUACUCCCUUUGUAAUAUAUUUCCUGCUAUAUUUUACUUCUUCAUCCAAUCUUUUUGUUGCCUUCUUUUUUCCGUAUCUGUUCUUCUAGCGAUGAUCUAAUCCCCAAAUAUUUUCGGUGUUGUUUGUUCUGGUUUGCUGUUUCUUUUGAUUUUGUGGUGCUCACGCAGUUCUUGGUCGUUCUUGGCCUGGCGUUGUUUUAUUGGUUCUGUUGUUUGCUCUGUUUUGAUCUCAUUCCUCUUGGGUGUUUGGUCUAUAGCCCUUGUGAGCUUGGGUGGCUACCUUCUUGGUCUUCUAGUAGUGUUUUGGCUAGGCCGUUGGGUGUUGUUCUUUUGUGAAUCUUCUUAUCAUUUUCUCAUUAAUAAAAUUUUUU
RNAcentral lists this unclassified non-coding RNA (396 nucleotides) under Hevea brasiliensis (rubber tree). The record is from RNAcentral. Lineage: Eukaryota; Viridiplantae; Streptophyta; Magnoliopsida; Malpighiales; Euphorbiaceae.